RNAcentral lists this ribosomal RNA (237 nucleotides) under uncultured bacterium. Its description in RNAcentral is "partial 16S ribosomal RNA". It matches the Rfam family "Bacterial small subunit ribosomal RNA", at positions 540 to 776 of the family's 1533-position model. The record is from RNAcentral.
GUUGUCCGGAAUCAUUGGGCGUAAAGCGCGUGUAGGCGGCUUGGUAAGUCUGCUCUGAAAGCCCGGGGCUCAACCCCGGGAGGCGGGUGGAUACUGUCAAGCUCGAGUCCGGAAGAGGAGUGUGGAAUUCCUGGUGUAGCGGUGAAAUGCGCAGAUAUCAGGAGGAACACCAAUGGCGAAGGCAGCACUCUGGGACGUGACUGACGCUGAGACGCGAAAGCGUGGGGAGCAAACAGG